GGACCGUUAUCUCAGUUGGUCAGAGAAACUGACUCAUAAUCAGGAGGUCGUAGGUUCAAGCCCUACACGGUCCA
Molecule: transfer RNA, 74 nt
Filed under: Candidatus Onthovivens merdipullorum
Lineage: Bacteria; Bacillati; Bacillota; Bacilli; Caryophanales
Description: tRNA-Ile
Rfam family: tRNA
About the family: Transfer RNA (tRNA) molecules are approximately 80 nucleotides in length. Their secondary structure includes four short double-helical elements and three loops (D, anti-codon, and T loops).
Source: RNAcentral